This 253-nucleotide ribosomal RNA is filed under the name uncultured bacterium. Its description in RNAcentral is "partial 16S ribosomal RNA". It matches the Rfam family "Bacterial small subunit ribosomal RNA", at positions 524 to 776 of the family's 1533-position model. The record is from RNAcentral.
UACGGAGGGUGCGAGCGUUAAUCGGAAUUACUGGGCGUAAAGCGCGCGUAGGUGGCUUGAUAAGCCGGUUGUGAAAGCCCCGGGCUCAACCUGGGAACGGCAUCCGGAACUGUCAAGCUAGAGUGCAGGAGAGGGAGGUAGAAUUCCCGGUGUAGCGGUGAAAUGCGUAGAGAUCGGGAGGAAUACCAGUGGCGAAGGCGGCCUUCUGGACUGACACUGACACUGAGGUGCGAAAGCGUGGGUAGCAAACAGG